This 858-nucleotide ribosomal RNA is filed under the name uncultured bacterium. Its description in RNAcentral is "bacterial SSU rRNA". It matches the Rfam family "Bacterial small subunit ribosomal RNA", at positions 94 to 954 of the family's 1533-position model. The record is from RNAcentral.
CACGGCGCACGGGUGCGUAACACGUGGGUAACCUGCCCUGCAAUGGGGGAUAACCCGCCGAAAGGCGGGCUAAUACCGCAUAAAAUUCCGGAGGCGAGUGCCGCUGGAAUCAAAGGCCGCAAGGCCGCGACUGGAGGGGCCCGCGCCCGAUUAGCUAGUUGGCGAGGUAAUGGCUCACCAAGGCUAUGAUCGGUAGCCGGUCUGAGAGGAUGGCCGGCCACACUGGAACUGCGACACGGUCCAGACUCCUACGGGAGGCAGCAGUGGGGAAUCUUGCGCAAUGGGCGAAAGCCUGACGCAGCAACGCCGCGUGGGGGAUGAAGCUUCUCGGAGUGUAAACCCCUUUCGACCCGGAAGAAUGUCCCGCAAGGGAUUGACGGUACGGGUAGAAGAAGCCCCGGCUAACUACGUGCCAGCAGCCGCGGUAAAACGUAGGGGGCCAGCGUUGCUCGGAAUUACUGGGCGUAAAGGGUCCGUAGGCGGUGCGGUAAGUCGGAAGUGAAAUCUCAGGGCUUAACCCUGGGGCUGCUCCCGAAACUGCCGUGCUCGAGUGCGAGAGAGGCGAGUGGAAUUGCGGGUGUAGCGGUGAAAUGCGUAGAUAUCCGCAGGAACAUCCGAGGCGAAAGCGGCUCGCUGGAUCGCAACUGACGCUGAGGGACGAAAGCUAGGGGAGCAAACAGGAUUAGAUACCCUGGUAGUCCUAGCCCUAAACGAUCAGGACUUGGGGUGUGCCCUGUACGGGGCUCGUCCCGGAGCUAACGCGUUAAGUCCUGCGCCUGGGGAGUACGGUCGCAAGGCCGAAACUCAAAGGAAUUGACGGGGGCCCGCACAAGCGGUGGAACAUGUGGUUCAAUUCGA